Molecule: long non-coding RNA, 561 nt
Organism: Topomyia yanbarensis
Lineage: Eukaryota; Metazoa; Arthropoda; Insecta; Diptera; Culicidae
Exons: 3
Source: RefSeq, a predicted model, not a curated record
AUAAAAAUCUGUAUUGUGACAUAGAAGCUGUGAUUAAAAAUGAUAAAAUAAAUCUUUGAUGUUAUAGCAAUAUCUGUAAAAGUGGCAACCCUGGCGUGAAGGUUAUAAAAUGUAAAUAUAAACAAACGUCAAAAACAUUCGCAGCAUAAAAUAAUAUUCUUUCGUCGGCCUUGUUAGUUGAACUGCGUCUAGAGAAUGGACUCUUCUCGUCGUAGCCAUUUACUGCGGGAAAAACAGUCAGUUCAACUUAUAUUCUGAACUCGAGUGGCGAUUUCAGAAUGACUUUUUCCUGUGCUACGGGCGCAUUAGAAGAUGCGUGGAGCACCUAUCUGCAUCGUCAGUGGCCAGUUAAUUAAGAUAUCAGUUGGUUAUUUCCUGCUCAAUAAAAACGAGUCAUUUGUUGCAUUGGUGGUGUGAUGACGGAUUUAUACUUUCGCUCUACGCUCAGCGCUCGCUCGUUCAGAACAAUAACAUUGAAGAGAUGUUGUUGGUGGCUCUGAAGAUCUUUCCACGUGAUGUCAAAAUUUUAAUUGUAGAAGCAGUGGAAAAUAUAUAUUUGAA